This is a non-coding RNA of Podarcis lilfordi (Lilford's wall lizard), 13005 nucleotides long. NCBI's taxonomy places the organism in Eukaryota, Metazoa, Chordata, Lepidosauria, Squamata, Lacertidae. The record is from the annotation of a GenBank genome assembly.
CGGUCGCGCCCGUCGUGUGACGUGUGCAGAAGGAGGGGCGCCCUUUGGCGCGGCGCCAAGACGAGGCCCCGUCCCGGGAGGGCUCUCGGGCUCCGGCUUCCUCCGGGCUCGGCGGAGGGCCUCCCCGCGGGGCCCCAGGAAGCCCUGCUGCUCCCUUGGGCGCCUGAAGGGCUCCUUCUGAGAGGGCCAUGACCUCUCUGUCUCUCUUGACAAGGUGAAUCCUUGCUUGGGUCCAGGAACUAGCUUCCCCUUCAGAUAAUUUUUAAUUGAAUAAUUUUCUAAUGUCUGAAGUAAUUGAAGUUUGAAGUCUUGUUUAUUCUGUUAAAUUCUACUCCAAGAAGACCCAUUUAUUCUAAGUAGAACUCAACAAUGCAGACAUGUAUGUACGAAGUAUUUUUUUCUAAUUGUGAUCUCAUUGACACCUCUAGAUCAGGCACCUCUUAGAAAUAAUUAAAUAAUAUUUUUGGGAAAUGUUAAUAUUAUUUAUACUUCUAAAUAAAAUUACAUUUUAGAAUUUAACUUUGAAAUUAAAGCAGGUCCAUCAUAUGACAUAUUUUAAGCCCAUGAAAAAUACAAUGAGAUUGGUAUUUUUAGUUUUGAAGGCCAAAACUGUCAAUUUUUUUGAAAUUUCAAACCCUCAUAACUAAAAAAAUGAGAUUUUAAAAAUUAACAUUUUAGAUUUUAACUUAGUUUUGAGCAUUCAAAAAGUAUACAAAAUAUUAAGAAAAUUGAAUGACACAAGAUAUAUCUGAUAUAUCUGACCAUAUCAGAUCACUUGGUAUGGAAUGACCCAUUAAAUCAUUUUAAGGCAGCAGUCACUUGAAACAAAGGGGAAAAGAAAUGCAAAUGCCACACACACAAAAACAAACUUUGGGACUAGAAUAGAGAGUCCUAGAUUAGUAGUGAAUGUGGCUUACAUUUUUGCUGGAAUAAAACAUGCUUUGUCUGUAUUUGAAUCUGCCUAUUUCUGCCCCCCGGUUCUUUGUCCUCAAAGUGGAUGUCUUUGAAAGUUGGUAGUCAUACUUUGGAUCCCGAAUGCCCUGGAACUUGGGAAGUUUUGACUCCCAAAUGCUGCAAACCUGGAAGUGAUCCAGAACAGAUUCCAUUCAACUUCCAAGUUACGACUGUAUUGCAGUGUAACACCUUUAUGAAAGGAUUUUUUAAAUGGUACUAAGAUACCUAACCCCUUGAUAUUAAAGUGUUUCUGUAUCACACUAUAAUGAAAUAACAGGGCAGUGUACAAUGUUAAAACCCAACAUGCUAUUUUAGAAAUAAAAAUAAUAGAGUAAAAUAAUUAACACAACUAGCUAAGCAACAACAUAAACCCAGCCCCAAACCACUGUCAUGUGACAACAGUGUCAGUUACUCAUCACUGACUUUAUAGUCUGUCAUAGAAAGUUCUUGCAGUUUUCCUCUUUUCUGUGUUUCUCCCUCUCCUUUGUUCUUUUUCUCUUAUCCAGUUUUUUAUUCUUCUCCAACUGUCACACUCCCAAGUUCUUUUCCCUUGCUGUUUCCUAACUGCCCCCUUUCGACCUUUGAUCUGCAUUCUAUUAACUCCAUAGCAGCAGACAUUCCUAUAAUCUUGUGAAUUCUAGAUAUUCUUGAAGUCUCCACCAGAGGUCAGCAUAAUAUUCAUUACAGGAAAGAGAAUUUUACAAGUCUAUUGAUGAGACAUUUAUGACUUAAUUUUAAAUACCAUUUUGUUCAGAGGGGAAAAAAGAUACUGGAAUAUUUUAUCUGUCCACAAAGGCAGACAUAGAAAUAUAAAUGCUUUAUCCCAUGUUGAUGGCCUUUCAGCUGAUUCCCUGGUGGCCCACUGGAAUGUAGAGUUCACCAGGGCUAUUGACUGUUUGGCUCCAAAGCGCCCUCUCCAAUUGCAUGGAGCCCGGACAACCCUGUGGUUUUCCACGGAUCUGAGGGCAAUGAAACAAUCGCUGAGACGGCUAGAGCGCCAGUGGCAGAUAACUUAUUCUGAAGCUGACCAGACACAGGGUAGAGCUCAGUGUCGAGUCUACCAAGUGGCAGUAGAGACGGCAAAGCAGACUUUCUUCACCGCCUCUAUUGCAUCUGCAGAAAACAGCAACAAGAGACUCUUUCAGGUGGUUCGCAAUUUAGUGGAACCACCUGCUACAUUGGGGCCCAGUACGGGCCACAUGAUCUCCUGGCAAUGAUUUUGCAAAGUUUUUUGCAGAUAAAGUCGCUCAGAUUUGGGAUGAGGUAGACUCCACCGUGGGAGCAGGGCUGGGGCAGGAGAGUGCUAGAGGAUGUGGACAGGCUGCUUGGACAAGUGAAACCAACUACCUGUCUCCUUGAUCCUUGCCUUAUAAAGCUAGCCGGGAAGGGCUGGGUGAUGGGCUUCGCAGGGUAGUGAAUGCUUCCUUCUGUGGGGGAGCUUUCCCAGACCCAGUGAAAGGGGUGGUUAUCAAACUGCUUCUUAAAAAACCAUCCUUAGAUGCGGCCAAUAUGGCCAACUAUCGCCCAGUCCCAAAUCUUCCAUUCUUGGGCAAGGUGAUUGAGUGAGUGGUUGCUGAACAACUCCAGGCACACAUGGAAGAAGCGGACCAUUUGGAUCCCUUCCAGUUUCAGGCCUCAUCAUGGGACUGAAACUGUCUUGGUCGCGCUGGACGAUGGUCUCUGGCAGGCUAGGGAAAAAGGUGAGAGCUGUUUCCUAGUUCUGCUGGAUCUCUCAGCAGUUUUUGAAACUAUCGACCAUAACAUCCUUCUGGACUGUCUAGGGCUGGGGGCACUGUUAUACAUUGGUAAAAAGGUAAAGGGACCCCUGACCAUUAGCUCCAGUCGUGACUGACUCUCGGGUUGCGGCGCUGAUCUCACUUGUAUUGGCCAAGAGAGCCGGCGUACAGCUUCCGGGUUAUGUGGCCAGCAUGACUAAGCCGCUUCUGGCGAACCAGAGCAAUGCAUGGAAAUGCCGUUUACCUUCCCGCCGGAGCGGUACCUAUUUAUCUACUUGCACUUUGACAUGCUUUCAAACUGCUAGGUUGGCAGGAGCAGGGACCAAACAACGGGAGCUCACCCUGUCGCAAAAGUAGUCCACAAGUGAUGCCCCUGAGAGAGUCUUCCGCAAUUUCCACCUCCGUGAUGCCCCCUCAAUUACCUCCUUCAAAGGAAACUGCGAAUGUUACACCUCGGGACCCGCCGUCAGAAAUGAUUGAAGACCCGAUGGGACGCAUCAAUAAAAUAAUCCGAAUGUCGGAUGACAAAUCUGCGAGAGGGUUUACCCCGACGGACUCAAUUUCCCCCUACCUGGGUAUUUCUCUGUCAAGUUGUACCAAGAAUUUCGAAAUGAAGAGACUUCCUGUUCAGAGACCUACUUUCAGUGGAUCAUCCACGGUGUGCCAACAGUCGAACCAAAUUGUUAAAACUUUAAUUUGCAGGGCGCCUCACAGUUACCAUCCUCCCAAAGUAAAAUAACUGACUUUUUGUUACAUCUUCUGUCUCUAACAGAGAGUCUGCCCCCCCUCCAUUUUGACUGUUAAAAGAACAACAUAGAAGUCCCCAGCUAGCAGUCCUAAGUUGGAACAUUGCUGGCUGGAAAAGGAAAAGAUUAGAUCCCGAAUUUCUGUCCUAUAUAAACUCUUUCCAGAUAAUCCUUUUGCAAGAAACAUGGGAAGAAGAUAAAAUAGAUAUAAAUGGCUUUGAACUGAUAUCACUUCCAGCUAUCCCCUCCCAGAAAGGUGGCCGGUCCAGAGGCGGUCUUGCAAUCGCCAUAUCGCUUAAAAUGAGAGCUAAACUCUCGCUAGUUCAUACCUUUCCUCCUUUUGCUUUUACUGGUCUGAUUUCAAGUGAAAAAUUCUCACUAUUAAUCACCAAUGUUUAUCUUCCUCCAGGUGGUCUGAUAUCAGACCUUCAUUAUAGAUGGGAUUCUCUGGAAGAUCAUUUAUUGGCAUGCUAUGUUAAGUACCCUAAUAUUCCAUCGAUAAUGGGUGGUGACUUCAAUGCACGUACAGCUGCCAACUGGAAUGGGAUAAUUAAGGCCAAGUGGUGGGUAUCUCCCCUACCCAAAAUCUGAUUUAAUCUCUUUCACAUCAAGAAGAUCUAAGGACAACAGAGUGAAUGAGGCGGGAGUCCUUCUUUAUCAAUUGGCCAUUCGUAUGAAUUUGAACAUUCUAAAUGGCAACUGCCCUCCGGACGUGCCAGGUGAAUUCACUCAUUUGGGCACAAAAUCAAAUAGUGUCCUAGAUUAUCUUCUAGUCUCAGAAGACCUAUUUUCAAAUUUCUUUUAUCUCAAAGUAGAUAAUGUACAAUCCAGUGAUCACCUACCUCUAGCGGCCAAGCUAACGCUUGACUGGCACCCGGUUAGCGGAACACACCCAAUUCAUGUAGGUUUAAAUGCCACAGCUCAAGUAAGAGGCAUUAAAUGGUCCAUGAAACAGGCCCAAAAAUAUGCAGAAUUCUUCCAGAGGAAUAGCUCCGAAUCCCUUAUUGUUUCAUUGGCGGAGCUGUCUGAACCAAAUAGGAUACUGGAGUGGUUCUCCCACUUCUCUGCAGAUUUAACUAGUUUCUUUACGAUGCCGGCUCACCUCGCUAACCGUGAUCAACCCAGGUUCGGUGCACCUUGGUUUGAUGCCAAAUGUAAGCAAGCUAGACUCUCUCUCUGUUGUAUCUACAACAGAUAUAAAGCCUCUGGAGCUGAAACUCUCCCCCCAGAGUACUUGCAGGCCAAAAUUGCUUACAAACAGGCUCAGAAGUCAGCCAAGCACGAGUGGCAGCUAAGACGUUGGCAAGCGCUGAUUGCUGCCUCUAAGCUUCGCAGCUCUCGCGGUUUUUGGAAUUUAAUCAACAAAAGAUCGAGGAAAUACCCAUUGACGGUUAUCCCAGCCCCGACAUGGGAACAAUUUCUAAGAAAAUAUUUCUCCCAGACAGACAUCUCUAACAUCCAAUCUGAUACUCUCUCAAGUCACUUGCCCAUAUGGCCAGAUACUGACCCGGAGGAAAUAGUAGAUUUAAUUGCCAAACUGAAAACUGAUAAAGCCCCAGGGCCCGAUCUGAUCCCGGCGGAAGCUAUUAAACAACAUCCAAUAUGGUGGGCUAAAAUUCUUGCAAAAAUCUUUGAUGCAAUCAAUGCCACGGGCCAGAUACCUACAUCAUGGAAGGAGUCCAUCAUAAUUCCUAUAUAUAAAAAAGGACCACCAGAGGACCCAGGAAACUAUCGUAAUAUCAGUUUAUUAUCAAUCAUCGGAAAAAUCUACACUCGCUUCUUGCUAACCAGACUAACCCAAUGGGCCGAAGAUUCCAAUCUGAUAGGCCAUGAACAGGUCGGGUUUAGACCAAAUCGCGCUUCUAUUGACCAUGCUAUAAUUCUAUAUCAUUUGGCGCGGAAAUAUUCUUCCCCUACUCAUGGUCUUCUAUGUGCCGCUUUUAUAGACCUGAAGGCGGCUUUUGACAGUAUCUCUAGAGAGCUGUUAUGGGAAAAACUGGCAAAGUGGGGCAUAGAAAAAGGCUGUUGUGGCUAUUGAUUAAAUUACAUGAAGGGACGGCUGCUAGGGUGAGGUUAACACCUGAGGGCGAUCUAACAAACUCAGUUCCAAUAAACAAGGGGGUACGACAAGGGUGUAUCCUUGCCCCCUAUCUUUUUAACCUCUAUAUUAGUGACAUGAGGACGCCCCUAGCUGAGGCCCAAACCUCCAUUCAUGCACCCAGGCUUGCAGACUAUCGCUGCCCCUUAUUAUUGUACGCUGACGAUGCGGUGAUCCUCUCUUAUUCUCGAAUCGGUUUGAGGAGGGCCCUUAAGAUUUUUGCAUCAUAUUGCCAAACAAAUUUACUCACUAUUAACCAUUCCAAAUCUAAAGUCCUAAUUUUUCCAGGAGUCGUAAACUGUAUAGAUGGGAACUUGAGGGAAGCCAACUGAACAAGUUUACAAAUUUCAAUAUCUAGGAAUUUACUUCCAGUAUAAUAUGGGAUGGAAAGCGCAUAUCACAUAUUUACAAAACAAGGUGAAAGCCCUUAUCUACGCUAUACUACGCUUCUUCUUUACUGAGGGGGCUAUGCAUGUUCCAUCCGCCUUAAAAGUUUAUAGUGCAAAAGUGGUUGCAACUAUGGCCUAUGCGGUCCCUUUAUGGGGCGUCUUUGUAAACCUCUUGCCUCUGGUGACAUUGCAAAAUCUUUUUCUAAGACGCCUUUUGAAACUACCCUCCUGUGUAAGCAACUCUGCCAUUCGCUUAGAACUUAAGACCCCCUCCCUUGAGAUUCUGAUGUGGAGACAUGCCUUUAAUUAUUGGCUGUCCCUUUGGCAUAAAUUGCCAAACUACCAUCUUAUUCAGUGCCUUUGGAGAGAUGAAUUCACCAGCCCAUGGGCAACAAAAAUCCAUUCCAAACUGUUGUCUUAUGGAAUCUCUCCCUCCGAUAUACUUAAUUUAGAUCUAAUUACAGCUAAAAAGGUCAUCAAACAAAGAUUGGAGGAUGUAGAUUUACAACAAAAUCUUACCACAGGUGGAGGUACAUGUUCCCCGAUAUAUCAGGGCAUUACAUCUAUGUCCCAGAUACCUCGAUAUCUGUCUACUUUAUCGGCUGCGUCGCAUAGAUUCGCAUUUGUUAGAGCCAGAUUUAAUGUGUUCCCCUCAAAUGUGCUGAGCAAUAGAUUUUCUAACGGUAAAAUCUCUGUUUUGUGCGCAUGUGACAACAAAUCGAUAGAAUCCCUUUAUCAUAUCUUGUUUAAUUGCCCCUUAUACAAUGUUCCCCGAUCAAGGAUCCUGAGUUCAAUCAUCCUGGAAAUUGCUGCUAAACCACCUGAAUUACAUCUAGCUUAUCUACUCCAGGACAUUGACUCUUAUAGAACUUUACAGGUUGCUAGAUUCCUGAUCUCAGUUCUGUCUUAUAAAAGACUUCAGGGAAUGCUGCAUGACUAUUAAAAAUUCAGUAAACUCUAUGCACCAUCUUUAUCUUCAAGGCCAUAACACGGUACAGUUAGAGAUUAUGCGUUGAAAUAUUUUAGUUGAUAUUUUAGAUUGUAAAAUGCUAUUGAUUUUAUCUAUUGAUUUUUAUCUAUUGAUUUGUUUUACCUUGUGGGCUUAUAGCCGAAUAAAGUAUUAUCUAUCUCACCCUGUCGCAAGGAUUCGAACCACCGACCUUCUGAUCUGAUCAGCAAAUCCUAGGCUCUGUGGUUUAACCCACAGCGCGACCCGCGUCCCUUACAGUGGUUCCGCUCCUUCCUCCUGGGCCGUGUUCAGAAAGUGUUAGUGUUCAGACUCCUGGGCUCUCACUUGUGGGGUGCCUCAGGGUUCUGUCCUCUCCCCAUGUUUUUCAAUAUCUACAUGCAGCCGCUGGGAAACAUCAUCAGGGGGUUUGGGCUGGGUGUUCAUCAGUAUGCGGAUGAUACCCAGCUCUACCUCUCUUUCAAAUCAAAACCAGUGAACGCGGUGAAGGUCUUGUGUGAGUGUCUGGAGGCGGUUGGCGGAUGAAUGGCGACUAACUGAGGUUGAAUCCUGACAAGACAGAAGUACUGUUUUGGGGGGACAGGAGGCGGGCAGGUGUGGAGGACUCCCUGGUCCUGAAUGGGGUAACUGCCCCUGAAGGACCAGGUGCGGAAAAAAGCUACUGUUAGCGCCUCCAGCAAUGGCGGAAUUCCUCUGAUCGGGAGGAAUCCGCUCCGUGGAAAUUAGGGUCUGGCCACUUGUGGACGUGGGAUUCGGCUGGCACCUUUUGCGCCUCCCCUACUCUCAGGGAAACCCGGUUUCGGGGAUCCGGAGCGACGUGGGGUGAGUGGCGCGGUGCUUCGAAUCGACUGCUUCUUUCACGGAGUGAAGCCGCAUUGCUGUUGCCGGAGAGCGCUGACUUUUUCCUGUGGACAAUUUGAUCUUAAAACAACUACCCGUGAGUAGAACGGAAAAUUGGACUCUUAAAUGUCUUAAUUUGGCACUGAAACGGGGAGGUUUCAAACAGGAAGUCCGCCUCCCCCUUUUGUAAAUAGAUUGAAGCAAAGAGGCUGCAAGCUAAAGCCUUUCAUAAAGGAUUAAACUUCCAUCGGUUAAAUCAUCAAACCCCCCUUGGAAGUAGGAGAAGAGGGGGGAAUUUUAAGAUCGCGUAAGCCUGCAGGAGAGAGUGAAGAAAGUCAAAUUACCACCGCUCUGAACCUGGAAACGGGCUGCUAGUAAGGUUGAAGUUUUGGAUAUGCUCAUUGACUGUGAAUAGAUCGUCUGCUGACAGUAGGUUAAAGAAGAGAAAUACAUUGUUUCCAUUGUCUCCUUCUGCAUUUAAAAAGGAGUAAAAGUAACUGAAAAUUGAAACCCACUUUAUUGUUUGAACUGUGCUUAAAAGGAUUGAUACAAAUAGAAAUUGUUUCCCCUAGAGGAAGCCUUUGAAAUUGUUACAAGAGCUGAGCUGGAGGAAUUUCCACCUGCAAGAUAAAACUGUGAGAAUCUGGGAUUGACCUUGGACCGUUAAGAAUGUUGACAGAAGAAGCCUUAGUGGUUGCAUUUUGUAAGAUUAAUGAUUCACUGGAACAGCUUCAUAAGAAGACGGAUGCGAGGACUAUAAAAAUUGAUAACUUGGAACAAAAAGUGACUAAUUUGGCACAAAAAGUCAAUAUUACAAGAUACAAAUCCGUUUAUUGUGAGGACCAUGCCUGUACACAAACAUUAACACAACAAUAGUUAAAAGAUAUUAAAAUUCAUUACAUACUACGCCAACAAAACCUUCAUCCCACAAAAUAGAAAGAGAGGGAAAACGAGCAACGAGUUAAACAGACGAUGAAGGGGUCUUUACAUUGUCAUCCAUAAGUCUUUCCCUGGCUUUCAUGGCCUUCAUCACAAAAACCGCUACCACAUGGGUAAUACGUGGGUUUGCAUCAACUAACAAAAAUUUUACUCUAUCUUCAGGAUUGGUUAUAGAGUUGGGUAUAAUUUGCAGCAAUGCGUCUCUAAAGCUCGAGUAGAUGGGGCAAUAGAGGAGGUAAUGUGUAAGAUCCUCUUUAAUUUUCAUAAGGCAAGGGCAUAAACGAUGUUCUACUGGGGUUUUUGUGAAUCUACCGGUCAGAUAUGCAGUUGGCAGUGUUUGAAACCGUGCCAUAGUGAAAGCUCUCCGAAGGGUGGGGUCAGUGAUCUCCACCAAGUAGUUGGCACAGAUUUUGACUGCUUUUACUCGGGGAAACCAGUAGGAAAACCCAGAGUUUUUUAUCUUUGUGGAGUCCAAAAGGCGUCUUUUCAAAGAUCCAUUCCCGAACUUUAUCAGGGCUCCACAAUUUAAGGGUAUUAAACUCAGGUAGAUUGUAUCUGGAUAGGAUAUCUAGUAGGUUUUUAUGCCAAGUAGUAUUAUUUUGUAAUAAUACAAAGGCUUGUUUAGCCAAUAAGGUGUUCGGGGCAUCUGUGAGGUUGGUGAAAAACGCAGGAAUCUUAAGUGGGCCCUGGCAGACACAGAAGGUAAUCCUACUUCCACUCUUAGGAGAGCUGCCGGAGUACUCUGAGGGAGGCCUAGAAUUCUUCUGAGGUAAAAAUUUUGGAAGAUUUCAAGCCGUUCUAACAGCUUCUGAUUCCAUCCCCAGAGUUCUACUCCAUAUAGCAUCUGGGGAAUCACUUUUCCAACAAAAGCUUUUAAUGCCGGGAUCACCAGUUGCCCUCCCUCGAAGCAAAAAAGCUGAGCAGGGCACCGAUUGUCCUACGUGUUAGAAGGGCUACAGUCUUGAAGUGGGCAAGCCAGCUAGAUGUAGCUUGGAAAGUGAUACCAAGAUAUUUAAAAAAAAGACACUGUUCAAUUUUGUGUUCAUCUAAAGACCAUCUAAAUGUGUGGCGAGCUCUAGUAAAUACCACAAUUUUUGUUUUGUCAUAAUUUAUCUUUAGAGAGUUUUGGGAACAAUAAGCUGCGAGCCCCUCCAGCAUGCUAUGUAGGCCCCUUCGAGUAAGUGCCAUGACAGCCAUGUCAUCAGCAUAUAGUAAUAUAUUCAGGUGUUUGCCUUCCAGGGCAGGAGCUGAUGACUUAUACUUUGCCAUAUGUUGAACAAUGUCAUUUAUAUAGAAAUUAAAGAGGAACGGCGCUAACAAACAGCCCUGUUUAACCCCUUUCCCCAGUGGCAGUGGAUCAGUAUAGUUGCCUGACAUCCCAGUUCUGAUUUUAACUGUGGUGUCUGAAUGUAACUCUCUAAGUAUUUUGAGAAGUCGUCUAUCAAUAUCUGUUUCAUAUAAUUUUUGCCAUAAUUUGUCCCUACAGAUUGAAUCAAAAGCGGAUGUGAGAUCUACGAAAGCCACAAAAAGUUUGCUCUUAUGUACCUUUGUAUACUUAUCUAUCAUUGUCUGUAGUACCAAACAAUGGCCUGUUGUACUAUGGCCCUUUCUAAACCCUGCCUGUUCCGGAUUAAGCAGGUUAGAGUGGUCAGCCCAGUCAACCAGUUUAUUUAGCAGGUAGCGAGUGUAAAGUUUAUACACAAUGUCCAGGAGACUUAUGGGGCGAUAGUUUGAGGGGUCUUGGGGUCUCCCUUCUUAUAGAUGGGGGCUACCAGGCUCAGUUUCCAGUUUUCUGGGAUUUUGCAUAUAUCAUUUAUUACCGUAAAAAGUUGGGCCAAAAUAGCAGCCCACCACUGGGCAUUUAGUUUAAAUACCUCAGGAGGAAUCAUAUCCUCACCGGGAGCUUUGCCAUUCUUGAGUGUUUUAAUUAGCUGUAAACAUUCUGAUUCGGUAACAGGAUCCCAGCCCAUUAAUAGAUCGUUUUUAAGAGGAGGAAACUGGCUCGGUUUAGCAAUGUUUGGAGCUGUAUAUAGCCGGGAAAAGUGUUGGUACCAUAAGUUAGAUGAGAUACUGUUGGUUACAAUUUUCCCUUUGGGUGAAACUCCUGGGCAAUUAUUUCCCAGAACUUUUUGUCAUCCCGCAAUUUGAUCGCUUUGUCAAGUGCCUCCCAUUGUUCCUUUCUGUAGAGGGAUUUCUUAAAUUUUAGAGUAUUUUUAUAAUGAGAACGCCACCUGUGCAGGUUUUCCAAUGAGGACAAGGUCCCUUCCUGUUUUACCUUAUUUUGUAGUUUCCUGAGCAAAGAUCUUAGAUUCCUACAGUCUUUGUCAAACCAGGCCCUCGAGUUGUUUUGUUUUUUGGGAGGGUUGGAAUUCGUGAGUAGUGGGAAGAGCGACUCUGAGACCUGCUGAAAUGUUGAAAAGGGGUCAGAAAUGGAUGAGAUGCACUGGUCUCUCAAGGCCAGUAAGUCUGAUGAAUGCAGGUGUAAUUUGAUUUUAGAUUCCAGGUCGCUGUUCCAUUUACGCCUACGAAGGGCCAGAGUUGGAGGUGGGUCUGCACAGUGAUUGCGGUAUUGCGGAUCCUCCACACCACGGGGAAUUAGUGAAAUUGAUAUAGGAAGAUGAUCACUCUCAAUUCUAUUGAAAGUCCUGAAGCCCUGUGACCUCUCCAAGAGUUUUGGGGAGACCAGGAUAUAAUCAAUAACGCUCGCACCUCUGGGUCCAAGAAAAGAAAAGAAACCCCCUGACCUGUCCAUAUGGGUACCAUGCAAAUUAUACAAAUUAUGUUUGAAGGCAGUCUCCAUUAAUGUAAUGCCUGCCUUAUUCAAGACCUUAUCGUCUGAGGACCAGGGAAUAAACCAAUCUGCCUCUGGCAGGAACUGAGAUUUAGAGCAGUACGUAUUUAUGUCAUUUCCUAUCCUGGCGUUGAAAUCACCUGCCAGCAGGAUAUCCAUGCCAGGGAAUUCUAGUUCAGCCUUCUCCAAACAUAGCUCUAAAUCUUCCCAGAAUUGUGACGACUGGGAAGGGGUGCCUAUGGGAGGGAUAUAUAUAUUAAAGCAAAGGAAAUCUCCUCCUUCACUGCUAGAAAUAAGUGAGAUUUGUAAAUUGUUACUCUUCACCCACUGCUGUUGCCGGGCCUUGCAUUUUAGCUUGGUAGAAACAAAAGUGACUAAACCACGGAUGUGAGGACUAUAAAAAUUGAUAACUUGGAACAAAAAGUGACUAAUUUGGCACAAAAAGUCAAUAUUAAUACAGAAAUUAUUCAGGAAUCGAUACAGGGAUCUAUUUUGACAUGGCAAAUUGAGGGGAAGGCGGGGGAGAAAGUUUUUGCUGUGGAACCUAAAGUGGCACAAGUGGAGAGGGAGAGAGCCCCAGCCUUACAGUUGCAAUUUGAUUAUUAUAAGUUGACGCCUUUCAAGAUUGAAUUUAGAGAAAGUCAGACUUUUAGGAUUAGGAUUCUCCGCUUUGACUGGAGAAAGAAAGUUGGAUAGAUCCCCUCAUGCAGGGGUUUAUUGACCUUUGGGACCUGGACUUGGGUCAGGAGGAGACUGGAGUUGUGGGGACUGCCAGACUUGGAGGAACUUUGAAACACGACUGGAAAUAUCUUUUGAAUUUCAGUUCUAACUAUGGAGAUUUGGCCGACUUGUCGAGAAGGAAUAAAAACAUUGCUAGAUGGGAAUUCCCCGGAGACCUACUUUUCAGCAUCAAAGGAAGGAAAAUAAAAACAAGAUCAGGAGAAGACAAAGUAAAGUGCAUGUAUAAAUAUGAAGAAGACUUGCAGAAGGGACCUGGAAAAGAGUUAAGAGCCUCGGACAGAAGAUCACCAGGUUGAUGGGCUAUAUGGAAUUGACGGAAAUGACUGGCUGAACCCGAGACCAGGGAGAAGAGACGGUGGAAGAAUAUUGGAAAAAGCUUAAAUUUUUAUAUAUGGAAAUAAUGUAAAAUUAAUCAGUGUUAGAAAAAUGUUGGAAGGGAAUUAUACGGCUUUAGAAAUGUUUUAAGGAAUUAAGCAUAAAUAAGUAUUAUAGUAUUAAUGGAAAAUAAGGUUAAAAUAUGUUAAGAUAAUUACAUGACAGAAAAUAGAGAAAGAUGGAAAGGAUUUGCUGAAACAAUUAAUAGAAAUGGAAUACAAAAAGGGAGGUGAGAGGAGGUCGAUGAAACAAGGGAAUGAAAGAGAGGAUAUUGAGAUGGUAUGAUGUGUGUUUCUUUCUUCAAUUUUAUUUGCUUUUGUUUAAUGUGUUAAUGUUAAUGUUGUGUUCUGUAUUGUUUAUAUAUUGUAUUGUAUUGUUUUCUCUUUUGUAUUUCUUCUUUUCUUUUUUCUUUUUUCCCCUUUCUUUUGU